CAUUUGCCUACACCAUAUUUUCUGAGGUUUUUUUUUUUGGUACCAGGGAUUGAAUCCAGGGGUGCUUAACCACUGAGUCACGUUCCCAGCCUUUUUAGAGAUAGGGUCUCCCUGCAGUUGCUCAGGGCCUUGCUAAGUUGCUGAGGCUGCCUUUGGAAUUGUGAUUCUCCUGCCUCAGUCUGGGAUUAUAGGUGUGGACCACCACACUGGGCUCACCCUGAAUUUUCUACAGGGUAGAGAAAUUAUAGAGCUGACUGUGAGGUUAAAUCUUUAUAAGUAAGAAAUACAUUUACUUUGAGGUAUUAAUUUCCCAGUUCCUGGAUGUAAAAGUGCUUUAAAGCAUCUUUAAGCAAUCAGUGUUUGAAUCGAAGAAUAAAAAUGUAAUCCAAGCAGGGUGUGGUGGUGCAUGCCUGUAAUCCCCGUGGUUUGGGAGACUGAGGCAGGAGGAUCAAGAGUUCAAAGCCAGCCUCAGCAAUUUAGCGAGGCCCUAAGCAACUUGGUGAGACCCUGUCUUUAAAUUAAGUACAAACAAAGGCUGGGAUGUCACUCUGUGAUUAAGUCCCCUGAGUCCAAUCCUUGGUCACUCCCCCACAAAUGUAAUCCAUACUAUUCCUUUUGGAUCACACAGUAGGCAUAAGCAUUAAAAAAGACUUUCCAUUUAACCACCCCUUCCCUGAAUUCUGGAAAAUGUUGCUAUAUAAAAUUUGAAAGCAUAAUGUGUGAGUAGAAGUAAAUGAUAGAGGACAAAUUUAUUUUUGUUAUUUAAUAUGAUAAAGUGAAUAGAACAUUUGAAUAGUAAUCACAAUUUUGACUUUGGUCCCAGUUUGUGCUUUUAUACCUCAGUUUCUUUACAUUAAAAGAGGGCUGAAUUAAACUUAUUCUUUCAAAAGACCCUUUACUGGGUAUCUUUUACUACGUUGCUAAGUCAUAGACUUGUCAGUGACUAAAUGUCAGAUGGGGAUAAAGGCCAUUAUUUUGCUUAUUUUUCUCUUAAAGAAUUUCCAGUGAUAUGUGUGUUUCUAGAUAUAAAAUUAUGUGUUUAUAGGGCCAGAAGAACUCUUCAAGUUCAUUUUGCUGGCUCCUUCUUUUCCUAAGCAGUAGCUGAAGCUAGAGAAGUCAUCUCUGUAAGCAUUAUGUGGCAGCAGUCUCCUUGUCUUGGAGGAUAGAAACUAGUCAGUGCAUUUUACAUUUUCAUGAAUUUAAUCUACAGUGUUAGGAUUUGCAUACUGUUUCUUAAAACUUGUUAGAACUGUCAGCCCUAACACAUAAAUCAGAUUAUUGUUGGAAGUUGGAUUGCAACUAGGAGGGAAAAACCCAGAAUCUUAGUUAUAAUUAACAAGUUGCAUGUGUUGUUUUUAAUAUUAAAAAGUUGCAUAUAUAAGUUACAUAUAUACAUAUAUGUUGUUAUAUGGAGGAAUGUUAAAGGUCAAGUCAACCAAUAAAUAAAUAAAUAAAAUUAAAAAGGAAUGUGUAUAGAUGGGUAAGGACAUGUUACAGAGGCUGAAUGCUUUAUCCAGG
Molecule: long non-coding RNA, 1518 nt
Filed under: Marmota monax (woodchuck)
Lineage: Eukaryota; Metazoa; Chordata; Mammalia; Rodentia; Sciuridae
Source: RNAcentral